GAGGCCAGCCCUACCCACGCGAACCGCGCCGCCUCCCUAUUCCCCUUCCUCUCGUCCUCCUAACCCACAGGUUCUAGCCACCUCCAGAUCCGGCCACAGCCGGCCAUCCAGGAGGUGAGGAGCAGGACGUCCAGCCUUGGAGCUGAGAACAGGAGGAAUCCGAGGAGACAGAUGGAGAUGGAGUGGGGAAGAAGACAGGGUGAGGUAGGAGGAAGAGGAGGCUGUGGCGGCGCCCCGUGUUUGCCUUCUUCGUCAAACAUCCACAGAUGAAGGCCACGAUUUCAUCAACUAGUAAAAGGCUCAAGGGCUCGGCAUGUUGCAGGCCAAUGUGUUUCCUUCUCUUCACUAGAUCAGGUCCAAAGGGGGAAGCCAAAUGGCAGAGAUCUUGGUACCUAUGAAUUAUCAGCAAUGCUACUAUGAAUUAUAGUGGCAACCAGUCUGUACUAUAGAACAUAUCAUGAGCUUUUUACCCUUUUUAAUUUUUUCUAUUAUAAUAAAGUGUGGAACAAUGUCACAGCACAAAGAAGCCUAAGCUGUAGCAUGUACUCAUCAUGAACGAAGUUAAGAGUAUGUCUGCUGGUGAUAGAGGAGAAAGAAUGUUGGAAGUGAAUGAAGCCUCCACCAAUCAGCAGGGAGCCUUUGACUCGAGGAUCAUGAAACUGAUACGAAGAUGGCCUGACUGCUGAAGAAUAUGAAGCAAGAUUUAAUUGCUCAGUGGAGGCAACCGUACAGAAAUCGCAAGCUUUGGUGUUGGGGACCUCAGAACA
Lolium rigidum is the source of this 767-nucleotide long non-coding RNA. RefSeq lists it as uncharacterized. The transcript is spliced from 6 exons. Lineage: Eukaryota; Viridiplantae; Streptophyta; Magnoliopsida; Poales; Poaceae. The record is from RefSeq and is a predicted model, not a curated record.